This 890-nucleotide long non-coding RNA is filed under the name Anser brachyrhynchus (Pink-footed goose). Its description in RNAcentral is "lncRNA (ENSABRG00000006201.1)". The record is from RNAcentral. Lineage: Eukaryota; Metazoa; Chordata; Aves; Anseriformes; Anatidae.
GAGGCAAGGAGAGGGUCCGGGAAGGAAAAGCAAAGGAGGAAUCGGGGAGGAAAAAAUGGAAAUUACGAAAGAGGAGAGAGGAAAAUUGCCGGUGUGGUUUAGGCAAGAAAAAAAAAAAAAAGAGGAAGGAAAAAAAAAAUCGUGAGAGGAGACGAAGCGGGGGCAGCCCCGGCUGGCAGCGGGGAGAGCCGAGCGCAGCCCAGCACCGGAUCCCAGCGGAUCCCCGCGGAUCCCGGCGUCCUUCGCCGCCCCUCUCCCUCUCAGCGGCACCGGCGAGGGCUCCAGGUGCCGGCGGGGGCGUCGCGGGAAGGUGCCGGAGCGCGGUGCCCGCCGCUCAUCCCCUCCUUCUUCCCUCCCUCCCUUCCCUUCCUUCCCUUCCCUCCGCGUCGCGGGGCUGGGGCUCCUCUCCCCUCAGCGCCGCGCUCCCGCCGAGUUUCGCCGCGGAGGGCGGAGGCGGCCCGGGGCAGCCGCCGCCGCCGCUCCCCGCCCUCUCGCUCCAUUGGCCGGGCGGCGGCGGGCAGGGCCGGCCCGCGGCACCUCCGCCCGCGGCGGGGGCGGCUGGGCGGGAGGGGGCGCCCAACGGCCGUGAGGGGCCGCGAGGGGACCGCGAGGGGACGUGGAGGGGCACCUGCCGCCGCCCCGGCCCGCUGAGGGAGGCCCGUCAUCGAUGUAUUGCUUCUCCCUGGCUCCCGUGCGCUGCUGAUGGCGUUGCUAAACACAGGAAGGGUGUGUGUGCGUGUGAGGGACGUGUUUGUGUGUUUGUGUCGAGGGCUCGCUUUAGCUUGACCACGAGGAGAUCACGUACGGGCUUGGGAAUAGGAUUGUACUUGCCGGCGGAGCCCGGUCGUUGUGGCUGGGCUGACGGUGGGACGAGAGCUGUGUUUAUCUGA